AUGAGCCCGAAAGACAUGGCGUUUAUUGGCUGUAAUGUUCUGGGCCUCGUCUUCUCUCUCAUCGUCUUCGCCACCUCCUGCUGCUGGUGUAAAUCGAGGAAGCGUCUGAUGGUGAUCCACAUGAGUUCAGUGCCUCCUGCAGUGGUCAGUGAAGAUGUUGUUGAUCAUCCGCAUCCAGUCUUUCCUCUUCCAGCCUACAGUCCAGUGCCAUCCUCAGAACCGCCGGCAUAUGAGGAUGAGCGGCGCUCGACUCUCUCUCGCUCUUCUGCUCCGCGGUGGGACAAGAGACGCUGGAUUGAGGAUCUGCAGAACAACAGGAGACCCUUACAAGUCUGAACACAGGCACUGUUUACACUUAAUCCUGCUCUAAACUAGAGCUUCAGUCACCUUUAUUUAAUAUGAGAUCCCGUCAGAGCUCAGUUCAGAGCCUUUUCUUAGUAGAACUUCUAUUUUUUUCCCAUUUAUGCGCCAUCAGGACCGACAGGCUGUGCAAUAUGACCAUACAUAGGUUGUAUGGACAAAAUAAAAAGUGAAUAUUAUUUACUUUAUAUUAUAAUACACAUCGUUUACACUAAUAAUUUGUCUAUUUAUAUAAGCGCAAUAUUACAAAAACAUGAAGAGCAGCACUGAGAGAAAGCUGCAAUCUUGAAAGUACAGUGUUUACAUUCUGCACAUUAUUUAGCGAUAUGUUGGACGUGUAAUCAUUAGCUAAAGUGUUUUAUUUUGUUAAUAUUUAUUUAUAUUUCUACAUUUUUAAUUAAAGAUUUGGUCUGAAGUUGUAAAUAAAGUGAGAAAUAUGAUCACAUAUGAAUGAGGACGCCUCUGAGUGUUUACUUUAUUAUGUUAAGGA
This 850-nucleotide long non-coding RNA is filed under the name Danio rerio (zebrafish). RNAcentral's name for it is "lncRNA (ENSDARG00000117408.1)". Lineage: Eukaryota; Metazoa; Chordata; Actinopteri; Cypriniformes; Danionidae. The record is from RNAcentral.